Oryza punctata is the source of this 203-nucleotide non-coding RNA. The record is from Rfam. NCBI's taxonomy places the organism in Eukaryota, Viridiplantae, Streptophyta, Magnoliopsida, Poales, Poaceae.
UUUAAACGCAGCCAUAAGUUGUCGUGUCAAACUUUAAUCGUUCGUCUUAUUUGAAAUUUCUUAGAUUAAUAUUUUUAUUGUUAUUAGAUGAUAAAACAUGAAUAGUACUUUAUACGUGACUUAUAUUUUUUAAUUUUUUCAAAAAUUCUUCAAAUAAAACGGACGAUUAAAGUUGGAUACGGAAACUUGUGGCUACGCUUAUA